Non-coding RNA from Biomphalaria pfeifferi, 212 nucleotides. The record is from the annotation of a GenBank genome assembly. NCBI's taxonomy places the organism in Eukaryota, Metazoa, Mollusca, Gastropoda, Planorbidae.
UUGAAACUGACAUAAUGUGAUAACAAUAAUGACCUAUUUAUGUGCGUUACUAGAUUCCAAGACUAUAAUGAGGGUAGCUGUGUGGGCUGUAAGAAGUAUACUUACCAUUCUUACAACAUUGAUGUAUCGUUUAUGUGUUAAAAGUGUUCCUUACAUUCUAGCGAUAACAAUUACUGUUUCUUUGUGUGUCAUUUGUGUUUGUUUUUUUAUUA